AACCUACGGGACGCAGCAGUGAGGAAUAUUGGUCAAUGGCCGAGAGGCUGAACCAGCCAAGUCGCGUGAGGGAAGACGGCCCUACGGGUUGUAAACCUCUUUUGUCGGGGAGCAAAGCGAACCACGUGUGGUUCAUUGAGAGUACCCGAAGAAAAAGCAUCGGCUAACUCCGUGCCAGCAGCCGCGGUAAUACGGAGGAUGCGAGCGUUAUCCGGAUUUAUUGGGUUCAAAGGGUGCGCAGGCGGAGGUGCAAGUCAGCGGUCAAAUUGCGGGGCUCAACUCCGUCGAGCCGUUGAAACUGCCGG
Molecule: ribosomal RNA, 305 nt
Filed under: uncultured bacterium
Lineage: Bacteria
Description: bacterial SSU rRNA
Rfam family: Bacterial small subunit ribosomal RNA
Source: RNAcentral